Molecule: long non-coding RNA, 1663 nt
Organism: Rattus norvegicus (Norway rat)
Lineage: Eukaryota; Metazoa; Chordata; Mammalia; Rodentia; Muridae
Source: Ensembl
UUUUAGAAAAGCAGGUUUAUUGGUCCGGCUGCUCACCAGAACACAGCAACUCGAGGAGCUUCCCUAGAGCCCACAGGAAACUGUAUCUGCCCACAGUGAUAGCCCAUCAGCACAGGGGACCUCAUCCUGCAUCUGCCCACCCUCCUCAGCUUAUCUGUCUUCAAUCGGAGGAGGGAAGGGGACCAAGAAAAAUAAAGGAAAAUUAAAAAUAAAAAAUAAAAAGCAAAGCUUCGUAUUGUAUAAAAGGUUUGUGGUUUCCAUCCCCCCCCCAAAAAAAUAAUCAAUUAGCUGCAAUUCUAAAAAGCAGGGAAGAUGUGUCGUUGGGGAGAAGGAAGUAGCCUGUAGCUAUCAUUUGGGGGAGGUGUUGCCUUUGCUCCUGACCAGCCUUUAAAGGGGGAAUCAAUGUGUCCUCAGGAGAAAACCUGGUCAGGAGGCAAGCUCUACAGUUUUACAUUAGGGAAAGAUCCAUGCUAGAAGCAGCUGAGAGGGAGUUAGGGUGAGCAAGCCAGCAGGCCCUACUUCCCCAGUUUCCGGCUAGGGAUCGCUACCAGAGGCCUGGCCUUUUUAGCACCUUGCUUUCUCCCUUCCUGCGGCCAGCCCUGCACAGCUCGCUGCUGCCUCCUGCUGGAACGCUAAUUUUCUGGGCUCGGAAAACAAGACUUCCCAGAAGGCAGUUCCCAGAUCCUGGAAGAGAGAAUCCAGUCCGGCUUACUUCUCUUUGGAACACUUUCUAGAACUGACUGCCCUCCAGAUCCAGAGACUGUCCUGCUGUCCUGAGAUCUUACCAAAGCGGAACUCUUGUCUUGAAUUUCUUUGUGUGGCUAAUGAGGGCAUUUCUUUCUUAUUCCAUUUCAACCCUCUCCUAUCUUCCUAUCUCUUCCCAAAGCCAUACUCAACGUGCUCCUGUGUGCAGAUUUUGUAGAUUUGUAAACGUGCUCCUCUCCUGACACACUUCUCAUCCUUUCCUAGGCUCAACUCACCUCCUGCUUACUUCGGUGAGACCUUUAUCCAGGGUAACACUCUGCCUUCACCCACCGUAUUGCCUUAGAUUUCUCCAAAGACCCUCAGGUCUUCCGGUGAGCCACCUCCUGUGUGAGCAAAGGUCUCCCUACACACAUUUUAUCUUCGUGGUACUUUGAACUGCCUUUAUUUUGAAACAGCGUCUCGAUAAAUUACUCAGGCUGGCUUUGAGCUCACUCUGCAACCCAGGCAGGUCUUGAGCUUGCAAAUAUCCUGCCUCAGCCUCUCAGGUAACUGGGAGAGCAAGCUGGCACUAGAAAGGCGCCCCUACAAGGGUUGUCUUUAGGAUUCGCUCUUUUCCUCUUGCAGAAAUUAUGGCUUUGGAGUCUCCCAGGGUGAGGAAAAGGAGAAACAGCUCAGGAAGCAAGGGUGGUGCGACUUAGUAUGAAGCUGUGUUGGGGAGGGGCAGGCCUCUGACAGGGCCUAACUAGGGAGCUUAGAAAAAGCAUCCUGGAGCAGGACAACCAGGGCAUGGGUCAUUCUUCCAUAUCCUACCCAGACUGUGUUCAAAUUGAGGCUGUCCAUGGUGAGAGACCAUCUAUCCCUCGGUCUAAGGCCUAUGCUUUGGAAGGCUGCUCUUCCAGGGGAUAUGAUUUCCCCGCUUUAAAAAAAAAAAGAAAAAGAAAGAAAGGGGGGGAAAAAA